ACGAUGAAUCGGGUUGCCGCCCGGAGGUUUAACCGCCGGGAGGAAAGUCCGGGCUCCGCAGGGCAUGAUGCCGGCUAACGGCCGGGGACCGUUUGCGUAAGCGGGCGGUCACAGACAGCGUAACAGAAAAGAUACCGCCCGGUUGCGACAGUACCGUCGGCCGGGUAAGGGUGAAAUGGCGGUGUAAGAGACCACCUCUUACGGCAGUAAUGCCUGAGGUGACAAGCCUCAUCAGGAGUAAAGUUAAACAGCGCGUUGGGCGGCCCGUCCGAUACGCGCGGGUAGACUGCCGAUACGUUGUCCGCAAGGGCGGCGAUAGACAGAUGGUAACCACAAGGCAUCUUUUCUGUUUAACAGGUAAGGGUGUUUUGGACAGAACCCGGCUUACAGAUUCAUCGUUUCC
Molecule: RNase P RNA, 403 nt
Filed under: Spirochaetaceae bacterium
Lineage: Bacteria; Pseudomonadati; Spirochaetota; Spirochaetia; Spirochaetales; Spirochaetaceae
Description: RNase P RNA component class A
Rfam family: Bacterial RNase P class A
About the family: Ribonuclease P (RNase P) is a ubiquitous endoribonuclease, found in archaea, bacteria and eukarya as well as chloroplasts and mitochondria. Its best characterised activity is the generation of mature 5'-ends of tRNAs by cleaving the 5'-leader elements of precursor-tRNAs.
Source: RNAcentral